AAAUUGAAGAGUUUGAUCAUGGCUCAGAUUGAACGCUGGCGGCAGGCCUAACACAUGCAAGUCGAACGGUAACAGGAAGCAGCUUGCUGCUUUGCUGACGAGUGGCGGACGGGUGAGUAAUGUCUGGGAAACUGCCUGAUGGAGGGGGAUAACUACUGGAAACGGUGGCUAAUACCGCAUAACGUCGCAAGACCAAAGAGGGGGACCUUCGGGCCUCUUGCCAUCAGAUGUGCCCAGAUGGGAUUAGCUUGUUGGUGAGGUAACGGCUCACCAAGGCGACGAUCCCUAGCUGGUCUGAGAGGAUGACCAGCCACACUGGAACUGAGACACGGUCCAGACUCCUACGGGAGGCAGCAGUGGGGAAUAUUGCACAAUGGGCGCAAGCCUGAUGCAGCCAUGCCGCGUGUAUGAAGAAGGCCUUCGGGUUGUAAAGUACUUUCAGCGGGGAGGAAGGUGUUGCGGUUAAUAACCGCAGCAAUUGACGUUACCCGCAGAAGAAGCACCGGCUAACUCCGUGCCAGCAGCCGCGGUAAUACGGAGGGUGCAAGCGUUAAUCGGAAUUACUGGGCGUAAAGCGCACGCAGGCGG
This 588-nucleotide ribosomal RNA is filed under the name Salmonella enterica subsp. enterica serovar Singapore. RNAcentral's name for it is "bacterial SSU rRNA". It matches the Rfam family "Bacterial small subunit ribosomal RNA", at positions 1 to 578 of the family's 1533-position model. Lineage: Bacteria; Pseudomonadati; Pseudomonadota; Gammaproteobacteria; Enterobacterales; Enterobacteriaceae. The record is from RNAcentral.